UUUUAGCCCAGAUAGGAACGGCAUCUCCCGAUUUUAAAAAAAUAAGGCUUUUUCAGCCGUAGUUUUUAUAAUCGGGAAUACAGUGGAUAGCUGGAAAAAGC
This 101-nucleotide small RNA is filed under the name Flavobacterium sp. CECT 9288. RNAcentral's name for it is "Flavo-1". It matches the Rfam family "Flavo-1 RNA". Lineage: Bacteria; Pseudomonadati; Bacteroidota; Flavobacteriia; Flavobacteriales; Flavobacteriaceae. The record is from RNAcentral.